This is a long non-coding RNA of Rhagoletis zephyria (snowberry fruit fly), 965 nucleotides long. RefSeq lists it as uncharacterized. The record is from RefSeq and is a predicted model, not a curated record. NCBI's taxonomy places the organism in Eukaryota, Metazoa, Arthropoda, Insecta, Diptera, Tephritidae.
CACCCAUAGCGUGGGAAAAGGUAUCGACGGAUUCACCUGGCUGUUGAUUCCGUUGCGUCAGAUCUCUUUGCAACUCGAACUCGGAUCGAUAAGAGCUGAACUGUCGCUGCGAGGCAUGUUGUAGAACAUGCCAGUAUAUGGCCCCGUAAGUCUUAAGGAAGAGCCAGUACCACUCUCUAGCUUCUCCGCUCAAUAAAUGGUGAAACUCCCGCAUUACAUCUGCCCAGUCACAUCCAUGAUGCUGCCGCAAAUGAUCCAGACGGAACAGGAAAUCCUUCACAGCGAUUUUGUCGUUGUGGCCCUGGUAAGUUAGCCCCACUUAUGAAUUUUAACUUCUUUGCGUAGUUGACGAUUUCUGUUGUUUUCAGCCAUGCCAUGUGGUACCUGAGGAGACUGGUGACUAACCUGUUCGCGCCCAUUAUAUACUUGAUCCGGCGUUACACGCGUUCGCGAUUGUUGUGCCAAAGGAUUCGGGAGAUGUAGAGGCUCCGUAUUUCUGUUGCCAUUUCUUGGUACUGCGCCCCGUUGACCUUGUUUCGCGUGGGAGCAGGGAGCUCGUCACGGCGUCGUCUAUUCGGAGAGAACCCAUUACUGGAAUGUUGAUGGUUCCCACAGUUGCUGGCCUGUGGUUGGGUGCGCGUCUGCUGGGAAUUCUUUACAUCCCGUAUUAUGUCUCGGACGAUUGGCGUGAUUUCUUCCCGCGACGACCUUGGGUAUGGAAACAUUUCGCUAACACGGGCACUACGGGUUUGUACGCUUAUUAGAGGAAAAUUGAGAUUGCUAGUAAUUGCGCCUGGUAGGAUAGGUUGUUCUUGGACUGCUGGGCCGACUGCCCCUUCAUUAACAUUGGACCUACUGGUAUGUUCGCUCGACGGAGGUAAAUGUAGAUUGCUUGCCACUACAGACUUUACCGCGGCCAAAUGAGCACUCAGCUCUCUUCAGUGCGAUUGGUAUUUUUCUAUCAU